GCAGCAUCUCCUGCUUGUUCAGAGUGAGCGGUCUGUCUACCAGAAGAUGGUUGCUGACUGCAAGACCACCUGUCAAGACCUGCAGUUGUCUCUGGGGGGCCCUACUGAACCAGCAAGUAAAGACAUCAGGAUGCAUUACAGCUUUGGUUUUGCUCAACAAGUGCACUAUCCUUCUGACCCUAUGCAGCCAGGUCCUAUCUACUUUUUAACUCCUCGCAAGGGUGGCUUGUUUGGUGUCUGAUGUGAAGGAAUACCACAACAAGUCAACUACUUGAUUGAUGAAGGCAUGUCAUCCAGCAAAGGCAGCAGCACAGUCAUCAACUACAUGCACCAUUUCUUCACCAACUACGGAGUUGGGGAAACACGUGUGGACCUGAAUUGUGAUAACUGCAGUGGCCAAAACAAGAACAAGUUUGUGCUCUGGUAUUGUGCCUGGCGUACCAUGCACAACCUCCACCACAGUCUGGACCUUCACUUCCUGAUCACAGGCCACACCAAGUUUGCCCCCGACUGGUUCUUCAGCCUCAUCAAGCAGCGCUUCAGAAAGACCAGAGUGAACAAUUUGUCUGAGAUUGCUGGUGUUGUGAAGGACAGCACUGUGACAGGAGUCAACAUCCCACAGCUGGUUGGACUGGAGGACGGUACGGUGCUGGUGGAAAGCUAUGGCUGGCAACAACACCUGACUCCGUACUUCAGGCCGCUGCCACAGAUCAAGCAGUACCAGCACUUCAGAUGAAUAUCAUUUUCAUGGCAUUCUUUGAUGCUCUGGAGCCUGGUGUUGUUGUCGCCAAGGAGCAUUCUGACUCAGUCGGGACCAGGUUUCAGCUGCUCCGCAACACUGACAUCCUUCCUCCCAUAGAUGGUCUGCCUGUACAAGCACCACCUAGACUGGACACAGCUAGACAAACGUAUCUUUUUGAGAAGAUCAGGGAGUUCUGCGACGAAAAGGCCAUGGACAUCACAUGCCCUGCACCAAAGUCAAGGGCAGGACAGAAACAAGCUAUCCGAAUGUAGAUUCCCUUGUUCAUGCGUGGUGUGGACUGGGGGAAGAGUUCUCAGUAAUCCGGACUAUCUGCAGUAUCUCUAUUCACAUAACUCUCUCCUACCACACAGGCCAUACGUUACUGCUACAAUUUUCUUUUUAUCCUGCUGCUCAGCCACUUUACCCCUGAUUGAAUACUUAUAACUACUACCUCCUGUAUCACCAGUAUCACUGAUAUCUGUUUUUGUUUUUUUGACACUUUCUGUUUUUGAUAUUGCUAUGCAAAUAUGCAAGUAACCAUUUCAAUGCACCGUGUACACCUUCUGUAUCCUGUGCAUGUGACAAACAUUGAUUUUUAUUUGAUAUAUAGUGUGUGUUUACCAGAGACAGUAAUGUAAAGAACAACAUGACCUGCACCAAAGUCAGAUUAGGAUAUAGGACAAGAUGAAGUGUAUUUUUACCUGGAGUUUUCCUUAUUGUAGUUUACUACGUCUACCACUUGUCUUAAUCUUUGGUUGUUUACUACGCAAUCUUACUCACUCUGUUUAGCACAUGGCCUCACAUGUGAAUCCUUAAAGAGAUGGGUGGGG
RNAcentral lists this long non-coding RNA (1572 nucleotides) under Salmo salar (Atlantic salmon). Its description in RNAcentral is "lncRNA (ENSSSAG00000103193.1)". Lineage: Eukaryota; Metazoa; Chordata; Actinopteri; Salmoniformes; Salmonidae. The record is from RNAcentral.